Molecule: ribosomal RNA, 219 nt
Filed under: Triticum aestivum (bread wheat)
Lineage: Eukaryota; Viridiplantae; Streptophyta; Magnoliopsida; Poales; Poaceae
Description: partial small subunit ribosomal RNA
Source: RNAcentral
AUGGGGAUCAUGGCCCUUACAUCAAAUAUUGUGAACACUUCAUCUCCAAUAGUGUCCAUAAGAAAGGGGGGUUGGUACUGCCCUCCUAGGGGCUUUGUGAAACUAAAUGUUGACGCAUAUUUUGAUCAUGACAUGCUGACGGGGACGAUGGGUGCAGUCUUGAGAGACGACAAAGAACGGAGGACAAUCAGCGGGUGCGGCGGCAGCAAUCUUUGUUGA